This is a long non-coding RNA of Cucurbita moschata (crookneck pumpkin), 699 nucleotides long. RefSeq lists it as uncharacterized. NCBI's taxonomy places the organism in Eukaryota, Viridiplantae, Streptophyta, Magnoliopsida, Cucurbitales, Cucurbitaceae. The transcript is spliced from 3 exons. The record is from RefSeq and is a predicted model, not a curated record.
UGUAGUGUAGUGGUUAUCACGUUAGUCUUACACACUAAAGGUCCUCAGUUCAAUCUUGGGCAGCAAUAUAGUAAGUUCAUUCCUAUUAUUUAAACUAGUUUCAUUAAGUUUAUACUUAAAGCACAAAUUUACUUGCCUAGUGCACAACUUGUGUGUGAAGUUGCUGUGGUGUAGUGGUUAUCACGUUAGUCUUACACACUAAAGGUCCCCAGUUCGAUCCUGGGCAGCAAUAUAGUAAGUUUAUUCUUUUUAUUUUAACCUAGUUUCAUUAAGUUCAUUCCUUUUAUUUAAACUAAUUUCAUCAAGUUUAUACUCAAAGCACAAAUUUAGAUGCCUGGUGCACAACUUAUGUGUGAAGUUGCUGUAGUGUAGUGGUUAUCACAUUAGUCUUACACACUAAAGGUCCCCAGUUCAAUCCUGGGCAGCAAUAUAGUAAGUAUAUUCUUCUUAUUAUUUUUAACCUAGUUAAAUUAAGUUUAUACUGAGAGCACAAAUUUAGUUGCCUAGUGCAUAACUUAUGUUUGAAGUUGCUGUGGUGUAGUGGUUAUUACGUUAGGCUUACACACUAAAGGUCCUCAGUUCAAUCUUGGGCAGCAAUAUAGUAAGUUCAUUCCUAUUAUUUAAACUAGUUUCAUUAAGUUUAUACUUAAAGCACAAAUUUACUUGCCUAGUGCACAACUUGUGUGUGAAGUUGCUGUG